Oreochromis niloticus (Nile tilapia) is the source of this 671-nucleotide long non-coding RNA. RefSeq lists it as uncharacterized. Lineage: Eukaryota; Metazoa; Chordata; Actinopteri; Cichliformes; Cichlidae. The transcript is spliced from 3 exons. The record is from RefSeq and is a predicted model, not a curated record.
CGUGCCUGCCGUUGCAUAUCAUUCCAAACUGAUAGGCCAGUCGUCUUUGGCUCUUUCCAGCGAGAGAAACUCACUGGAAGUCUCAUCACGAGAAUGCCCACAGGCAGCUGCUGGGAAAGGGAGUGGUGUUGGCGACGAUGGCAGCAUGACCACUUCACUGCACCAACACCCAGAGGUGGAGAGCAGAAUUCAUGGCUCCAUCAAUUACAGCAGGUUGUGCUGAAGCACCAAAGCAGCUCCAGACCAUCACAGACCAUGUCCUCUUGGAGUAAUUUAGGUACUCUGGCCACUCCUGGGAAGGUUCACCACUGUUCCAGGUUUUCUCCAUUUGUGGAUAAUGGCUCUCCCUUCGCUGGAGUCCUAAAGCCUCAGAAAUGGCUUUGUAACGCUUUCCAUGACUCUGUUAACAUCUGCUGUUGAGUUUCUUUUACCUUUUCACACAGGGUCAGGUAGGUUUGAAUAGCUGUUUUUCUUUAAGAAAUUGAAUAGUCAUUUAAAAUCUGGGGUUACUACUACAAGGGUUAUCUUUGAUUAAUAUUACAGUUUAAGCAACAACCUAAUAAAUUAGGAAGAUGGUAAAUGCUUUUUCACAGCACUGUAUAUUUGAGCUUUGGAAAUAACUUGUUUUGAUUUGGUGACCCUGUGCAUCAUGGUUUAUGUUAUCUACAAUC